This 217-nucleotide small nuclear RNA is filed under the name Cryptosporidium parvum. The record is from RNAcentral. Lineage: Eukaryota; Apicomplexa; Conoidasida; Eucoccidiorida; Cryptosporidiidae.
GUCAAAGAACAAGAGACAAGCUUAUGGUGUUUCCACUAAAGCAGGUAAGUUCUUGAAGAUUCAACAGAGGAAAUGUAAAUGAUUUGGUCAUUCGUGAUGAAAGCUAUUGAUAGGGACAUCUGAAUUUUCCAUGAUGUUCUGAAGAAAUAUUCAUUAUUUCUAAGAUAGUAGAUUCUGAUCAUUAUGUAUAUAAUACGCCACUUUUACAUUUCAACUA